CUACAGUGGAGAGUGACGCAAGCAUAUAAUGGCGGAGGAAAACGAUCCCAAACUUAUCAUUUUCAUCCAGAGUGGGAGGAAGAUUAUUUUUUCGUUUAUUCAAAUGGCAAAUCCAUCUGCCUUACCUGCAACGCAAACGUGGCAUUACCGAAGAAAGGGAAUUUGGAGCGGCAUUUUAAGACGAUCCACAAGAGCUACAAUGCUAGCUUCCCGGCUAAAAGCCAGCUUGCAGCACAACAGGCCGUUUUCCCCCGGACAAAUACCACCAGUAAGGCUGCAACCACAGCUUCUUAUCGUGCCAGCCGUGUUCUGGGAAAAAGAAAGAAAUCAUUCAAGGAUGGUGAAACGAUGUGAGUUAAUGUCGGAGGAUAUUGAUCGGCAACUGAGGAAUGAUAUUGAGAUGGUACGCAGCAACGACUCGACAGACUGGAGUCAAAGGUGGACCGCAUACUACAACUACUGUGGAGGAAUCAGGCUGCUGAAGAAGCUGACUGCAUUGGAGAUAAUGCAGGCCAGACUUAAAACAACGGAGGAGCUGGACCAAUUCAGCAAAACGCUGGAGGACCAGGAGUUUAGGAGGACAGUGGUGAAUCUGCUGAAACAGCUAUCUGGAUCAAUGCUGAACUCCUUUGCCAGGACGAUGCUCGGUGAAACUGGGAUGUGGCGGUUGUAGGCUGGUGUCAGCCUCAAAGGAUAGAAAGGGAAGAAAGCCCCGCAGCCUCUCACUCUCUAGAGUUUUGAAGAAAGCCUUCAGCAACAAGAUGGAAAUUUUACCAGAUGCUAUCGAUGAUGCGUUAACUGAAACACUGUGCCAUGCAGCAAAGAGGCACUUGAGGCAGUUCUGGUGGAGUGAACAGGCUGGCUGAUCGGAGUUCGCUUGGGCUCAGGUAAGCGUGGGUUUUUAUUAUUUAUAGUUGUUUAAUUUUUGUUAGUGGUGUGGGUCAUUUUGUUUUGUUGGUUUUUAUUUCCCUGUCCCCUAACCCCAACCUCACACACUUCUGACCGUUCGUCUUUAGUGUUGUGGGGUGGUGCAGGCUGGUUAUGCUGGGCAUCUCCAAGAAAACCUCUGCACCUGGGGGGGGGGGGGGGGGGGGGGGGGGGGUUCAGGGUUUUGUUAAUUCCCAGUUCCACCCCAGCCUCGGUGAGCCUCUGACCGUUCGCCAUUGGCAUCACUGUGGUGUGAGGCAGUGGGAAUAUACUUCAGUCGGAGCGGUGGGGCCGAUCAGAGCCGUACGCCUUUUCUGCUGUCCACCCCUCCCGGUAGACUGGAGUAUAGUCGGAGGGACGACACCGGCCGUAUUGCCGGUUUUCCCCUGCCUUUGGGGGUGGGGCUGGGUUAUUUUUUCCUGUUGUCUUCCCCGGCUCAGUAGUCCUGAGCCGAUUGCCACGACGUGUCUGCCGAC
This is a long non-coding RNA of Thalassophryne amazonica, 1403 nucleotides long. RefSeq lists it as uncharacterized. The transcript is spliced from 5 exons. Lineage: Eukaryota; Metazoa; Chordata; Actinopteri; Batrachoidiformes; Batrachoididae. The record is from RefSeq and is a predicted model, not a curated record.